RNAcentral lists this long non-coding RNA (931 nucleotides) under Haliotis rubra (blacklip abalone). RNAcentral describes it as "uncharacterized LOC124260755". The record is from RNAcentral. Lineage: Eukaryota; Metazoa; Mollusca; Gastropoda; Lepetellida; Haliotidae.
GGCAGGACACAAACCUGAUAUUCCUUCAAAAACCAUUUGUUUUUGAUAUCUGAGAGAGGUAUACACAAUCUAUACAUGAAAUGAAAGCUUGUGAUCUGAGCAUUAAGAAAAAAAAUGAUGUGGUGAAAUUUAUGUGGACAUUUUCUUAUAAAAACGUUUUUAUGUCACACCAAUAAAGUCUGUAGAGAAACUCUGCCGUAAAAUGAGUCAUCAAGAAAACAGUACUACCAGUACUUCCUGCAGUCUGCUGAGACCACUUCCUGUCCUAGCAGUGUUGACAUUUGGAACUUGACAGCUUGUUAAAUCUUUUUCCAAAGAUUUUCAUUCGAAGCAUUGACAAGUCUUCAGAUUUCUUCAAUAUCAUUAUUGAGGUUAACUUCAAAGAGAAAUGGACUUAAAGGGGCCAAGUCCAAAAGAGUAAACAUUCAUCUGCCGAGUACUGCAUCAUAAUUAGUGCUCGAACAAAUUUAUCACCUGGAGAAUUACAAUCACUGCCCAAUUGAGCCAAGACGAUGUUUUUACCAGACUUGUGCAGUUGUUUGGAAAUGAUCUUUGUGGUCAGGAUUUGCUUUAUCAUAGAUGUUUCUUAGUGAAGAUGGGACUGUUCGACUUGUGCAUUUGCACGCAGAAAUGGUCUUUAGAAGACCAUUAUGUCUGACAGAUUGUCGUGAUGAUGUCACAAUGGCCAAGGUUCUCGCACAUCCCAUAGGAUCAGUUCCUACAUUACUUUUCAAUGAAGAUGGAUCAAGGAGGAAGACAUCCAAUGCCGAUUUGACAGACAAAUUAGAAGAAAUUGUACAGAAUAUUGACACUUUACCAGACUUUGACAAAAAGACACUGUCCACAUUCGCGAUACAAUGGCAAUAUUGAUAAGUAUGAAACCUGCCAUUCCCUCCGCGUUGGAUAGUGUUGCUGACAGUUAUAUGCAAAA